This is an RNA transcript of Anguilla rostrata (American eel), 1414 nucleotides long. It is a transcript of the gene named A-kinase anchoring protein 14, with no coding region annotated. NCBI's taxonomy places the organism in Eukaryota, Metazoa, Chordata, Actinopteri, Anguilliformes, Anguillidae. The record is from RefSeq and is a predicted model, not a curated record. The transcript is spliced from 5 exons.
CUUAUUUUAAAUCGGUGUAUAUAUGACUUAUGCUGCACGGCUAACCUAAUGUAAAAAGGCGCCUCCAUUCGGAUCCCGUAGAGCCACAGAGCGUACAUAUGAUCUGGAGACAGUCAAUGUCUGGAGAGGGCUGUCCGGGCUGAAAAGUGCGGUUGCUGGUCUGGAUGCUGUAGGGAGCUGGAGAGGGCUGGGGCUGGACCCCAUGGCGAGGCAUCAUGUCCUCACAGGCAGAGGAUGGGGCACCAGUAGGGUAACCAACCGUCAGAGAGAGAACUUGCACAAGGAGCACGUUCAGCAGCAAGCGAUCGAGUUUCCGAAGCGUUUUGGUUGCCUUGGAAGCAAUCGACGGCAACAACACAGUCCUUGAAAACACUCCAACAGUAAGGUAACGUUAUACGAUUCUUUAGCUAACAGCGUACCUAUCAUGUUUUAUACAUUCGUCACAAUAAAUGUUAUACAUUCAAGCAUUACUGUCUACACGUUUUAUUUCCUCAUAUUUCAGGUAUAACUUAGUUAUCGAUACAUCUACAAAUUACACGGAUGGAAAGAGGAUUGACUUCUCUUCGAAAUAUAAAAGUCUGUAAAAUAGUGAAAACUACGUUCGAUAAAAAAAUAUCUAUCCAAACAAUUUUUAGUCCCAAAUAAAUACGAAAUGAAAAAUAUCGAGUGGACCUCCUGCAAGGAGUUUACAAUCGACCUCGGAAAGGAACAAAUUGAAAAAUAUAUCAAUCCUGUGUUUCUUUAAUCAGAUGUGGGGAUUGGAUCCAAGCUGGCUGUAUAGUUUAGUGUUCUUAGAGGAGAAGGACCUGGAAUUUCACAAGCAGUAUCACUACAGAACUCUAUGGAGCAUCCCAACUCCACAGACUCCAAUUCCAAAGGCCACUGCAUGUGUCUAUUUUGUCAUAACAGUUUCCAAGAUCAAGCCACAGAGCUUACCAGUAGAAGUGUAUUAUGUUGUGGAAGCAUGCAGGCUGAGACACAGGUAUAUCUUAAACACGUCUUGUCUUUUCUCUGUUCAAUACAGAACUUCCUCCGGAUGACUUUUUUUUCCCCAUUUCACAGGCCAGGAAAAACAAGUUUUAGAGAAAAGUGGCUAAAAGACAUCAUUGAGAGCAAGACUCUACUUCAAGAAACCAUCAACUUCUAAUAACAUACAUUAUCAUUUUCCUGUAUCAAAAAACAGGAUAAUUUACAGGAUUACUGAAAAUUGCAGAAAUUGUAAGCAUUACACAGAUGCAUGCAUUUUUAUUGGUAAGUGCACCAUGUAUUAUGAGAUUACAGAUCACUUAGUGAGAGCUGAAAAUGGUUUUCAUUUGAAAAAAAUUAUAUUAAUGUUUAAAACAAUUCUGGGAUUACAAGGUUUGGGAAUCUGUUCACUAUGUACACACAACACAAAAAUACACAUUAAUGUUCU